This 531-nucleotide ribosomal RNA is filed under the name Meyerozyma guilliermondii. Its description in RNAcentral is "eukaryotic LSU rRNA". It matches the Rfam family "Eukaryotic large subunit ribosomal RNA", at positions 41 to 646 of the family's 3401-position model. The record is from RNAcentral. Lineage: Eukaryota; Fungi; Ascomycota; Pichiomycetes; Serinales; Debaryomycetaceae.
UAUCAAUAAGCGGAGCACAAGGGUCCCUGCAUUGCCCUAGGCUGGAACAUAGAGGGAUCCCUGCCUUGGGCUUGNAGUCUCGUCUAUGUUUCUUGAAACAGGACGUCCCAUAGGGUGAGAAUCCCGUGCGAUGAGAUGCCCAAUUCUAUGUAAGGUGCUUUCGAAGAGUCGAGUUGUUUGGGAAUGCAGCUCUAAGUGGGUGGUAAAUUCCAUCUAAAGCUAAAUAUUGGCGAGAGACCGAUAGCGAACAAGUACAGUGAUGGAAAGAUGAAAAGAACUUUGAAAAGAGAGUGAAAAAGUACGUGAAAUUGUUGAAAGGGAAGGGUUUGAGAUCAGACUCGAUAUUUUGUGAGCCUUGCCUUCGUGGCGGGGUGACCCGCAGCUUAUCGGGCCAGCAUCGGUUUGGGCGGUAGGAUAAUGGCGUAGGAAUGUGACUUUACUUCGGUGAAGUGUUAUAGCCUGCGUUGAUGCUGCCUGCCUAGACCGAGGACUGCGAUUUUAUCAAGGAUGCUGGCAUAAUGAUCCCAAACC